UGUUGGUGUAAAUAUUCAAAAAAUAGAGAUUAGCUACAAAAUAAUUUAAAAAAUAUCAACGAGUCAAUCAAGCCGAGGCACGGAUAUCUCGCUCUCUUUAAGGAGAUUCAAGCCCUCUGCGGUUGGCAAAGCCUUUGAACCGAUGCAGCAGAGCACCGACUUGUCCCCUCCAGGAUACAACGGCUCAACCCUCGUCGUGUGGCUUCACCAACUCUGCACAAGUAGAUGAGCCCAAAGCUCCACCAAAAGAAACACCUUUCUUU
RNAcentral lists this long non-coding RNA (263 nucleotides) under Ananas comosus (pineapple). Its description in RNAcentral is "long non-coding RNA (ACOM_LNC030868)". Lineage: Eukaryota; Viridiplantae; Streptophyta; Magnoliopsida; Poales; Bromeliaceae. The record is from RNAcentral.